GCGGGGUUUGUGCCCUGCUGAAAGCGCCUAAAAUUUCUAAAAUUAAUAUGGAAAUUCAUUGAUAUUUCUGAUAAAAUCAAGAUUUUUUUUUUCAAGACAAAGGUGACCAAAAUCCCUCAAAUUAAUAGGAACAUUUAUUAAUUUUUCUGAUAAAAUUGGGGAUUUUGGAGCUUUUUCUCCACAUUUUUGCCACGGAAAAAAUUCCUAAAAUCCCCAGGAUGAAUUCCAGCUGUGAAACUCCAGGAAUUUUUCCUCUGCAGGGAAUUUUCCCCACAUUUCUGCCAAGAAAAAAAUCCCUAAAAAUCCCUCAAAUUAAUAUCAAAAUCUAUUGAUAUUUUUGGAUAAAAUCAAGGAUUUUGGAGCUUUUUCUCCACAUUUUUGCCAUGAAAAAAAUUCCUAAAAUCCCCGGGAUGAAUUCCAGCUGUGAAACUCUGGGAAUUUUUCCUCUCCAGGGAAUUUUUCCUGGGAUUUGUGCCCCGCUGAAAGCCCCUAAAACUUCUAAAAUUAAUAUGGAAAUUCAUUGAUAUUUCUGAUAAAAUCAAGAUUUUUUUUUCUGAUAAAAUCAAGAUUUUUUUUUCAAGACAAAGGUGACCAAAAUCCCUCCAAUUAAUGUGAAAAUUUAUUAAUUUUUCUGAUAAAAUUGGAAUUUUUCCGGGGUUUUUCCCCUGCCAUUGACGGCAUUACCAGGCAGUAUUAGACAGAAAAUCCAGAUCUAACCGUGCCUGGUAAGACCCCAAUCUGCAGGAAAAUCCAUUUAUUUUUAAUUUUUUUUCCCUCAUCCAACAUGGGAAAACGAUCCCAAGGAAAAACGCAGCAAUUCCCAGGAUUCCAGGGAAUCUUGAACUCGUCCUGCUCAGUUUUUGAGGCAGGGAAAUGAUGAAAAUUCCGCUUUUUUUUGGCCUGGUUGGGGAAGGAAUUGGGAUUUUUAGGGAUUUACCGGGCGUGGAAUCCCUCUGGAGCAGCUCCCCAAAAACCUGGGAUGUCCCUCAUCCAUGAAUUCCCCUCGCUGAGGCCAAAAUUUUCAGGAUUCAGCCCCAAAAAGCUCCUAAAUAACCCCAAAAUCCAGCGCUGGAGUGAAGUGGAUUUCAGGAAGGGGGAACCAGUGGGAAAAGGGAGGGAAUUGAAGGAAAAGGGAAUUUUCCGGGGUUUUUCCUGGCUCUGGGAUGGGAUUUUCCUUUCUCUGGGAUUUUCCUGGCUCUGUUUUUGGGGUUUUUUUGGGUUUUUGGGGUUUUUUUGGUUUUUUGUGGGGGUUUUUUUUUGUGGGUUUUUUUUAUUAUUAUUAUUAUUAUUAUUAUUAUUAUUAUUAUUGUUAUUAUUAUUUGGUUUUUUUUUUUUUUGGUUUUUUGUUUGUUUGUUUGUGUUUUUUGUUUGUUUGGUUUUGGUUUUUGGGGUUUUUUUGGGGUUUUUUUUUGUUUUUUUGGGUUUUUUGUUUUUGUUUUUUUUUUUCCAGGGCCACAUUCCCACUUUCCCAUUGGAAUUUUCUCCUUUUUUUUUUUUGGGAUUUCUUUCCCCAAUUCCAAGAGGGGAUGAACAGGAGGGGGAAGGGCCCCAAUCCCAGGGAUUUACGGCCUGGGGAAAAUCCAAUUUCAGGAAUUCCUCCCCCAUUUCCUCAGGGCCUCCGGAGCAGUUACUCAUUAACACCGGGCCUUAAUUAAUCACCGCUCUGCUUCCUCCUUUCCUGCUUUUCCUGGGAA
This is a long non-coding RNA of Prinia subflava (tawny-flanked prinia), 1694 nucleotides long. RefSeq lists it as uncharacterized. NCBI's taxonomy places the organism in Eukaryota, Metazoa, Chordata, Aves, Passeriformes, Cisticolidae. The transcript has 2 exons. The record is from RefSeq and is a predicted model, not a curated record.